This 253-nucleotide ribosomal RNA is filed under the name uncultured bacterium. Its description in RNAcentral is "partial 16S ribosomal RNA". It matches the Rfam family "Bacterial small subunit ribosomal RNA", at positions 524 to 776 of the family's 1533-position model. The record is from RNAcentral.
UACGUAAGUGGCAAGCGUUGUCCGGAAUUACUGGGUGUAAAGGGAGCGCAGGCGGGAAGCCAAGUCAGCUGUGAAAACUACGGGCUUAACUUGUAGACUGCAGUUGAAACUGGUUUUCUUGAGUGAAGUAGAGGUUGGCGGAAUUCCGAGUGUAGCGGUGAAAUGCGUAGAUAUUCGGAGGAACACCGGUGGCGAAGGCGGCCAACUGGGCUUUAACUGACGCUGAGGCUCGAAAGUGUGGGGAGCAAACAGG